GAUAAUCCGUGAACGCUGGAAUGCCUCACGGUUGAAAGCUUUAGCGUCUGAGGAUGGGUCUGCGGCCGAUUAGGUAGUUGCUGGGGUAACGUCCCAACAAGCCAAUAAUCGGUACGGGUUGUGAGAGCAAGAGCCCGGAGAUGGAUUCUGAGACACGAAUCCAGGCCCUACGGGGCGCAGCAGGCGCGAAAACUUUACACUGCGCGAAAGCGCGAUAAGGGGACCUCGAGUGCGUGCGCAAUGCGUACGCUUUUCAGAUGCCUAAAAAGCAUGUGGAAUAAGGGCCGGGCAAGACCGGUGCCAGCCGCCGCGGUAACACCGGCGGCUCAAGUGGUGGCCGCUAUUAUUGGGCUUAAAGGGUCCGUAGCCGGACCAGUUAGUCCCUUGGGAAAUCUUACGGCUUAACCGUAAGGCUGCCAAUGGAUACUGCUGGUCUUGGGACCGGGAGAGGUAAGAGGUACUUCAGGGGUAGGAGUGAAAUCCUGUAAUCCUUGAGGGACCGCCAGUGGCGAAGGCGUCUUACUAGAACGGGUCCGACGGUGAGGGACGAAAGCUAGGGGCACGAACCGGAUUAGAUACCCGGGUAGUCCUAGCCGUAAACGAUGCGAGCUAGGUGUCACGUGGAUUGCGAAUCCAUGUGGUGCCGAAGGGAAACCGUGAAGCUCGCCGCCUGGGAAGUACGGCCGCAAGGCUGAAACUUAAAGGAAUUG
RNAcentral lists this ribosomal RNA (710 nucleotides) under uncultured archaeon. RNAcentral's name for it is "bacterial SSU rRNA". It matches the Rfam family "Archaeal small subunit ribosomal RNA", at positions 155 to 867 of the family's 1478-position model. The record is from RNAcentral.